AUUGAACGCUGGCGGCAGGCUUAACACAUGCAAGUCGAACGAGUGGCGGACGGGUGAGUAAUGCUUGGGAAUCUAGCUUAUGGAGGGGGAUAACUACGGGAAACUGUAGCUAAUACCGCGUACCAUAGGAUGAGCCCAUGUGGGAUUAGGUAGUUGGUUGGGUAAAGGCUCACCAAGCCGACGAUCUCUAGCUGGUCUGCGAGGAUGACCCGCCUAACGGGAACGUGGACACGGCCCGUACUCCGUCGGGAGGCAGCAUAUGGGAAUAUUGGGCAAGGGGGGCAACCUUGCGCAGCCAUGCCGCGUGAAUGAAGAAGGCCUUCGGGUUGUAAAGGUCUUUCGGUAGCGAGGCGUUAACGACAGAAGAAGCACCGGCUAACUCCGUGCCAGCCGCCGCGGUAAUAC
Molecule: ribosomal RNA, 405 nt
Filed under: uncultured bacterium
Lineage: Bacteria
Description: partial 16S ribosomal RNA
Rfam family: Bacterial small subunit ribosomal RNA
Source: RNAcentral